UACAUCAGUGUUAUGUUAUUUUUAUGACUUCAUCUUUAUACAGUCGGGUUCGGGUUCGGCGGCCAUAGCGAAUUUCGGCGAGAUUUUACCCCAGUGAAAAAGGCUUGUAAUCUACCCUUCCUCAAACCUGGAAGAUAUGUUUUGUUCCUAACCAAUCCAUUCUCUAAGUGAAGUGAAGCCUGGCUGUUGGUUUUCCUUUGGGAAAUAUACAGUGAAAUAA
Long non-coding RNA from Saccostrea cuccullata (small rock oyster), 220 nucleotides. RefSeq lists it as uncharacterized. The transcript is spliced from 2 exons. The record is from RefSeq and is a predicted model, not a curated record. NCBI's taxonomy places the organism in Eukaryota, Metazoa, Mollusca, Bivalvia, Ostreida, Ostreidae.